CUAUUUUGAAAUGAAACAAAAGAGAAACUGAAUUCUGCCAACAGCCCCAGUGAGUAGGAAAUGGAUCCUCCCCUCGAACCUCUGCUUUAGGAAAGAAAUGUAGCCUGCUGAUACCUAGGGAGACCUAUUCCUGGCUUCUAACCUGCAGAACUUGAACUUUUAUUGAACGUUUGCUAGAUGGUACACACUGCUACAAGAAUGUAGAAGAAGACGAAGUUCCUGGAAUAUCUCACAGAAAUUUUCGAGAGUCACAGCAGUCAACAAGUGGAAGGAGGUUUCUGAGCCAGAGAACCAGUUGGGAUAGGCAGCAUCCAUUGCUGGCAGAAGCAGCUGAUGCAGAAUGGAGUGAGAGGGCCAACUCUACAU
Microcebus murinus (gray mouse lemur) is the source of this 366-nucleotide non-coding RNA. Lineage: Eukaryota; Metazoa; Chordata; Mammalia; Primates; Cheirogaleidae. The record is from RefSeq and is a predicted model, not a curated record.